This 65-nucleotide transfer RNA is filed under the name Dipodomys ordii (Ord's kangaroo rat). It matches the Rfam family "tRNA". Rfam says of the family: Transfer RNA (tRNA) molecules are approximately 80 nucleotides in length. Their secondary structure includes four short double-helical elements and three loops (D, anti-codon, and T loops). Further hydrogen bonds mediate the characteristic L-shaped molecular structure. tRNAs have two regions of fundamental functional importance: the anti-codon, which is responsible for specific mRNA codon recognition, and the 3' end, to which the tRNAs corresponding amino acid is attached (by aminoacyl-tRNA synthetases). tRNAs cope with the degeneracy of the genetic code in two manners: having more than one tRNA (with a specific anti-codon) for a particular amino acid; and 'wobble' base-pairing, i.e. permitting non-standard base-pairing at the 3rd anti-codon position. Lineage: Eukaryota; Metazoa; Chordata; Mammalia; Rodentia; Heteromyidae. The record is from Rfam by way of RNAcentral.
GGUGGCUCAGAGGUAGAGUGCUUGCCUUGCAUGCAGGAGGCCCUGGGUUCGAUUCCUUAGCACCA